This 433-nucleotide RNase P RNA is filed under the name Martelella mediterranea. RNAcentral's name for it is "Bacterial RNase P class A". It matches the Rfam family "Bacterial RNase P class A". Rfam says of the family: Ribonuclease P (RNase P) is a ubiquitous endoribonuclease, found in archaea, bacteria and eukarya as well as chloroplasts and mitochondria. Its best characterised activity is the generation of mature 5'-ends of tRNAs by cleaving the 5'-leader elements of precursor-tRNAs. Lineage: Bacteria; Pseudomonadati; Pseudomonadota; Alphaproteobacteria; Hyphomicrobiales; Aurantimonadaceae. The record is from RNAcentral.
CCAGUUGGCCGGGCGGCCGCGCUGUGCCAAUGCCGAAAGGCGGUACGGUGAGGAAAGUCCGGGCUCCACGGAAACACGGUGCCGGAGAAAGUCCGGCGGGGGCGACCCCAGGGACAGUGCCACAGAAAGCAAACCGCCCCGCUUUCAGACCGCUUGUAAAAAUUUGCGCAAGCGGCCUGAUGGCGGGGUAAGGGUGAAAGGGUGGGGUAAGAGCCCACCGCGCCGGCGGCAACGUCAGGCGGCACGGUAAACCCCACCGGGAGCAAAACCGAAUAGGGAUGACGCGGCGCUUGUCGCCAGCCUGUUUCCAGGCCGGUCAUCCGGGUGGGUUGCGAGAGGCAGUGCGCAAGUGCUGUCCCAGAUGAAUGGCCGCCACGUUCUGCGGGAAACCGCCAGAGCCUUACAGAACCCGGCUUACAGGCCAACUGGUCCA